Long non-coding RNA from Lucilia sericata (common green bottle fly), 367 nucleotides. RefSeq lists it as uncharacterized. The transcript is spliced from 5 exons. The record is from RefSeq and is a predicted model, not a curated record. NCBI's taxonomy places the organism in Eukaryota, Metazoa, Arthropoda, Insecta, Diptera, Calliphoridae.
AGGGGAUUUUAAAUAAGGGAUCAUGUUGGCUGCCUUGGGCCUAUAUAAAAAAACUUGAUGGCCGAUUCUGAAAGAUGGCGGAUCGAAGCAGAAUGAAAUGGUUUUGUUCCAGAUGGGCCAGUGGACUAGGGAUUAAGGUGGUUCCGGGAAUUUAAGCUAAUAAAAUUCAAUUGGACCUGGGAUUUGGCCUUGGUUGCUGCUUCCGUUCAGGAAAGGUUAUAAAUUCAGAUUGGACCUGGACCGGAAGCUUGAAUGCGGUAUAUGAACCCAAUUAUUGUUCUAAAAACGUAAGUACUAACUAAUACUGAACUUAUCUAAAUCAAAUGAUUAGAUAUUGAAAAUGACUUGUAUCAUCAAAAUUUACUUU